This is a non-coding RNA of Cricetulus griseus (Chinese hamster), 1358 nucleotides long. The record is from RefSeq and is a predicted model, not a curated record. Lineage: Eukaryota; Metazoa; Chordata; Mammalia; Rodentia; Cricetidae.
GGAAAUUGAACUCAGGACCUCUGGAAGAGCAGCCAGUGCUCUUACCUCUGAGCCAUCUCUUCAGUCCCUAAAGCAAAAUUUGAUCGGUCUAUUAACUUACUUUUCUCAGAGAGAUGUUCUGAUAACCUUUGCUAUGUCUUCAUGUGAAUGGCAGUUUUGAAUGGUCUUCUGGAAGCUUUGAUUAGUAUGCCCCUAUGGAGAACACUAAUUUAUUUUGGCCUGGUGAGUUCAGUCAUUUUUUUUUUUUCCCUUUUUUUUCUGCCUGAUGUCUAUUUGGUGCCAGCAGAUGGCAAUUUCCUAAGCCUUGACCUGCUAGUUGAAGCUGCUUCAAACUUGCUCCAUCUAGUGGACAGCUUUAUUCCAGUACGGCCAGCCGCCGACUCCACUUUUCAAAACUUUCGUUCUAGCUCCAGGAUUUGUGAUGCAGAAUCCAGAGAGAUAGUCGUCUGCAAGGCCUUUCCACUGAAUAUGAACACAGGGAAGGAGAAGGCUGUGAUACAGCAAGUGUAACAAAAGGAAACCUGCCUAAAUGACAGCUGUCACCACAUCCUGGCACAGCUUGUGCUCCUCACAGAUGAAGAGAAGGUCCUUAGCAUCCCUGCUUUACAGUAAAGAAAACUACAGUGAAGAAGAUUCUUCAGACACAGGUUUCCACAGCCAGCUAUAGCAGAAGCAGCACACACAGAGACACCUCUUCUCCAUAGGCCAGAGGCCUCAGGAUGUAAGGAAUUAAAUAGUUGAUCCUGAACUAGGAAUCAAGAUGAGACUGAGAUACAACAAACCUCAUGCACACUGUAGAGAUUCUCCAUUACCUGAAGCGCCCAUUAACAGCUAUUAUAGGGAGAGGAAUAAGAGACAAGCCAAAACAAAUGGAUACAUUUACCAAAAACAUCAUCCAGAUCAUUUGCUUUAGGUCUUCCUCAUUGAAUUAUUGGUUAAGACCAUCAACAAACCAGUCCUGCCCACAUCCCCAUAAAGGCAUCGUAGCUUCCAAGCUGAGGAACCUCAUCUUUGGGGGCAUGUCCUAAUGUCUUGUUACCUCUCAGCUCUUCAGAGAAAAGUGAUGGUGAGGGUUAGAAGUUAGAUCUGAAUGCUCCUGCCCCUUACCAGAAAAUCCUGAGUCCAGUGUAUGCGUUCACUGUAGUUCAGCUGCAGGAACCACUGUCCACAGUGCUCCAGUCUUUUCACAGAAACCCACCCUUGCCUCCUCUGUGGAAAGCAUUAGGUUCAUGUCAGUUUGGCAGGACUUACACACUCUUCCAGGUUCUGCCCCUUUCCUCUCAGUAUGUGUUGGCCAAUCAUAGAAGAACAUGGAUCUAGCUGUUUCCAGAAUCUUCUGCGUUUCCAAGAAGAGGAAA